This 519-nucleotide ribosomal RNA is filed under the name uncultured Acidobacteriota bacterium. Its description in RNAcentral is "bacterial SSU rRNA". It matches the Rfam family "Bacterial small subunit ribosomal RNA", at positions 385 to 896 of the family's 1533-position model. Lineage: Bacteria; Pseudomonadati; Acidobacteriota. The record is from RNAcentral.
GACGACGCAACGCCGCGUGGAGGAUGAAGGUCUUCGGAUUGUAAACUCCUGUUGCUCGGGACGAAAAGCUUCGACCUAACACGUCGAGGUCUGACGGUACCGAGUGAGGAAGCCCCGGCUAACUCUGUGCCAGCAGCCGCGGUAAUACAGAGGGGGCAAGCGUUGUUCGGAAUUACUGGGCGUAAAGGGCGCGUAGGCGGCCUGCUAAGUCGAACGUGAAAUCCCUGGGCUCAACCCAGGAACUGCGUCCGAUACUGGUUGGCUUGAAUCCGGGAGAGGGAUGUGGAAUUCCAGGUGUAGCGGUGAAAUGCGUAGAUAUCUGGAGGAACACCGGUGGCGAAGGCGACAUCCUGGACCGGUAUUGACGCUGAGGCGCGAAAGCCAGGGGAGCAAACGGGAUUAGAUACCCCGGUAGUCCUGGCCCUAAACGAUGAAUGCUUGGUGUGGUGGGUAUCGAUCCCUACCGUGCCGAAGCUAACGCAUUAAGCAUUCCGCCUGGGGAGUACGGUCGCAAGGCUG